Amphimedon queenslandica is the source of this 464-nucleotide long non-coding RNA. RefSeq lists it as uncharacterized. Lineage: Eukaryota; Metazoa; Porifera; Demospongiae; Haplosclerida; Niphatidae. The transcript is spliced from 3 exons. The record is from RefSeq and is a predicted model, not a curated record.
AGUCAUAUUAUGAGACUAUAAUGAGUUAACCCACAAUAUGGCGGGAGAUACUACUACAUGUAUCUUUGAUGCAUUUAAUGUUCUUAAUUUCUUUUUCAUUUUUAUUAAUUUAUUUAUUAAACAGGUUGAUAGGUCUCUUAAAGAAUUUGAUGGUGGUGGAUUAUUAUCAGUUAGUAGCAUAUUUAUACUUUAUUGUUCUCAUCUCUCUCCUCCUAUCCUUUUUUAUUUUUCUCUCUUGUCCAUAUCAAUGUUAAAUAUAAUUAAUCUAUUCCUGAGGUCAAUCCUUAUCGGGCUAGUAGCCUAUUUUUUUCUACAGCCACCUGAUCAUCAGUCACCUAUACAAUUUCAAAGUUGUUCAGUGUGUUCUAAUUUAUGAUAUCAUUUGCAAGUUAUUGGAUAGUUUAACUGAGAGAGAUCUGGAUCUACUGGUACUGAUAUUGAAGACGAAAAAUUUUGGAGGGAGU